Molecule: long non-coding RNA, 550 nt
Filed under: Elaeis guineensis (African oil palm)
Lineage: Eukaryota; Viridiplantae; Streptophyta; Magnoliopsida; Arecales; Arecaceae
Description: long non-coding RNA (EGUI_LNC079981)
Source: RNAcentral
GGCUAGGGAAAAAAAAUUUUCUUUUCCCGUGCUGCUGUCACGCGGUGCACAAAGAAUUUCUCGGGGGAGCUAAGCUUGAUGUUUUUGACCGGGCCACAAGCAUGGAUCAGGCCCAAAUUGGAAAAAACAAAAAAGAAAAACACAAGUGGUGUGAAGAAGGCAGACUCUAGAUGGGAGUCUCUUUCUUUCCAAUUUUGCAGAGAGAAGCUAAUGCCGAGAGAGAUUCCAACCUUUCUUUCGGCAACCUCUAGAUGGGAGUCUCUUUCUUUUCAAUUUUGCGGAGAGAAGCUAAUGCUCAGAGAGACUCCAACCUUUCCUUCAUUUCCUCUUCGAUCCCACACUUUAAAUAGAGUGCUUGGUUCAUGAUCGAAAUAAAAAUUGAAAUAGAUUGGAAUGGAAAUUGGAAUGAUCAAAUCAUCUGAAGCGUUUGGUUUAUAAUUAAAAUCGAAAUUAUAAUAAAAAUUUGAAUCCAUAGAAGAGAGCAGAGGUUGAGUUUUAGAUUAAUUGGAUCAUUCUCAUUCCAUUUCGGAAUUAGAAUGAAACUCCUCCC